Molecule: transfer RNA, 3964 nt
Filed under: Homo sapiens (human)
Lineage: Eukaryota; Metazoa; Chordata; Mammalia; Primates; Hominidae
Description: HSALNT0016485
Source: RNAcentral
AGUGACGCAGGGCAGAAGGGCGGGGCGCAAGAGAGACUGAGAGCACUACGCGGGGCUCCCUAAUGACAUUGCCCCGCGGUUUUCAAGACUGACUUCAGGAUCAUCUGGGAGAGGUUGAAAGGCACAUGCAGUGUUCACCGCCUUGAACUGAAGAUCACUGAACAUGGCUUUGGUGGAAACCACUGCAGUGAUAUCAGAAAGGAAAAAAGCAAACUUCCCUGACCGGGAAUCGAACCCGGGCCGCGGCGGUGAAAGCGCCGAAUCCUAGCCACUAGACCACCAGGGAGGGCUGGUGACACUGUGGGCAGCACCUUCUGAGAAAAGAUCUUAGGACAGACGCCUCAACCACCUCAGGCACAUGUUAGAAACCUAUAGGAAUGUCUUUUUCUCCCUCUCCCUCUCCCCACGGUCUCCCUCUCCCUCUCUCCACGGUCUCCCUCUGAUGCGGAGCUGAAGCUGGACGGUACUGCUGCCUGAUUCUCCUGCCUCAGCCUGCCGACUGCCUGCGAUUGCAGGCGCGCGCCGCCACGCCUGACUGGUUUUCGUAUUUUUUUGGUGGAGACGGGGUUUCGCUGUGUUGGCCGGGCUGGUCUCCAGCUCCUAACCGCGAGUGAUCCACCAGCCUCGGCAUCCUGAGGUGCCGGGAUUGCAGACGGAGUCUCGUUCACUCCGUGCUCAAUGGUGCCCAGGCUGGAGUGCAGUGGCGUGAUCUCGGCUCGCUACAACCUUCACCUCCCAGCAGCCUGCCUUGGCCUCCCAAAGUGCCGAGAUUGCAGCCUCUGCCCGGCCGCCACCCCGUCUGGGAAGUGAGGAGCGUCUCUGCCCGGCCGCCCAUCGUCUGGGAUGUGAGGAGCCCCUCUGCCUGGCUGCCCAGUCUGGAAAGUGAGGAGCGUCUCUGCCCGGCCGCCCGUCGUCUGGGAUGUGAGGAGCCCCUCUGCCUGGCUGCCCAGUCUGGAAAGUGAGGAGCGUCUCUGCCCGGCCGCCAUCCCAUCUAGGAAGUGAGGAGCGCCUCUUCCCGGCCGCCAUCCCAUCUGGGAAGUGAGGAGAGUCUCUGCCCGGCCGCCCAUCGUCUGAGAUGUGGGGAGCACCUCUGCCCUGCCGCCCCGUCCGGGAUGUGAGGAGCGUCUCUGCCCGGCCGCCCCGUCUGAGAAGUGAGGAGACCCUCUGCCUGGCAACCGCCCCGUCUGAGAAGUGAGGAGCCCCUCCGCCCGGCAACCACCCCGUCUGAGAAGUGAGGAGCCCCUCCGCCCGGCAGCCGCGCCGUCUGAGAAGUGAGAAGCCCCUCCGCCCAGCAGCCACCCCGUCUGGGAAGUGAGGAGCGUCUCUGCCCGGCCGCCCCUACUGGGAAGUGAGGAGCCCCUCUGCCCGGCCAGCCGCUCCGUCCAGGAGGGAGGUGGGGGGGUCAGCCCCCCGCCCGGCCAGCCGCCCCGUCCGGGAGGGAGGUGGGGGGGGUCAGCCCCCCGCCCAGCCAGCCGCCCCGUCCGGGAGGGAGGUGGGGGGGGUCAGCCCCCCACCUGGCCAGCCGCCCCGUCCGGGAGGUGAGGGGCGCCUCUGCCCGGCCGCCCCUACUGGGAAGUGAGGAGCCCCUCUGCCUGGCCGGCCGCCCCGUCCGGGAGGGAGGUGGGGGGGUCAGCCCCCCACCCGGCCAGCCGCCCCGUCCGGGAGGUGAGGGGCGCCUCUGCCCGGCCGCCCCUACUGGGAAGUGAGGAGCCCCUCUGCCCGGCCAGCCGCUCCGUCCAGGAGGGAGGUGGGGGGGUCAGCCCCCGCCCGGCCAGCCGCCCCGUCCGGGAGGGAGGUGGGGGGGUCAGCCCCCCACCCGGCCAGCCGCCCCGUCCGGGAGGUGAGGGGCGCCUCUGCCCGGCCGCCCCUACUGGGAAGUGAGGAGCCCCUCUGCCCGGCCACCACCCCGUCUGGGAGGUGUACCCAACAGCUCAUUGAGAACGGGCCAUGAUGACAAUGGCGGUUUUGUGGAAUAGAAAGGGGGGAAAGGUGGGGAAAAGAUUGAGAAAUCGGAUGGUUGCCGUGUCUGUGUAGAAAGAGGUAGACGUGGGAGACUUUUCAUUUUGUUCUGUACUAAGAAAAAUUCUUCUGCCUUGGGAUGCUGUUGAUCUGUGACCUUACCCCCAACCCUGUGCUAUCUGAAACAUGUGCUGUAUCCACUCAGGGUUGAAUGGAUUAAGGGCGGUGCAAGAUGUGCUUUGUUAAACAGAUGCUUGAAGGCAGCAUGCUCCUUAAGAGUCAUCACCACUCCCUAAUCUCAAGUACCCAGGGACACAAACACUGCGGAAGGCCGCAGGGUCCUCUGCCUAGGAAAACCAGAGACCUUUGUUCACUUGUUUAUCUGCUGACCUUCCCUCCACUAUUGUCCUGUGACCUUGCCAAAUCCCCCUCUGCGAGAAACACCCAAGAAUGAUCAAUUAAAAAAAAAAAAAAAAGAAACCUAUAGGAAUGUCUUUAAGAAUAUUUUGCAAUGAUGUGUAUAGUACUGGAUGCAGUGACUGCUGCCUGGGCCAGAGGGUGGCAGAAGGCUUUAGGGGCAGAAACGUUGGAAGAAAGAUUGUCAUAAGUCAAGCUGGGGAAGAGAAAAAUAUUUCCCAAAUCAUUUUUGUCACGGACUCCCUCUGACAUGGGAGUUUCUCAUCUCCCUUCCUGCCUCCCUCCCUUUUUCUUUCUUCCUCCUAAAAUCUGCAUCUCCUUCACUUAUAUAGUUUCCCCACGGUUGAUUGAGAAAAAAUGUGUCUUUUUGCCCCCCUCCCCAAAGGAUCCUAUUCCUGAUCUCUAAAUAUGCCCCUCACCAGUGCAGAGGGAGGAGCAGUCAGAGCCUGGGAGACUUGCCUACCUGGAGCUGCACCCAUCUUUGAGGCCUUGCUCUGUUUCCUGGAACCUGAAAUGGAUUUACCUAUUCUACACAUUUCAUAGAAAUGAAAUCACAUAAUGUGUCACAUUUUGUCUGGCUUCUCUCACUUGGCAUAAUAUUUUUGGGUUCAUUCAUGUCAUAGUAUGUACUUCAUUUCUUCUUAUGGCUAAAUAACAUUUUAUGUAUAUACCACAUUUCCUUUAUCCAUUCAUCUGUUGAUGGGCAUUUUGGUUGUUUCCACCUUUUGGCUGUUGUGAAUAAUGCUGCUAUGAACAUUUAUGUACAAGCAUUUGUUUGAGCAUCUGUUUUUUAUUUUUUGGGGUUAUCUAUUUAGUAGUGGAAUUACUAAGUCACUUAUAUUCCCACCAGCAUAGGUAAAUCUAUAGGAACAGAAAGCAGAGUAAUGGCUGCCAGGGGCUGGGGAAUGUGGAGUAAUCACAUAAUGAUAUGGGGUUUUACUUUCUUUUGAUGAAAAUGUUUUGGAACUAGAUUGAGAUGGUGGUUGCAUAACCGUGUGAACAUACUUAAUGCCACUGAAUUUGUUUAAGAUGGCUUCAUUUUUCUUCACAUUUCUGCCUAUGCUUUAUAUUUUCUGUUGUUUUAAAAAUUAUAGCCAUCCUAGUGGGUGUGAAGAUACCACUACACAUAAAUUAGAAUGUCUAAAAUUAAAGAGACAGACUAUAUGCAGUGGACUGAAUGUUUGCACACACACCCCAAGUUCAUAUGUUAAAAUUCUAACUCCCAAGGUUAUGAUAUUAUGAGGUGGGGCUUUGGGGAGAUAAUUAGGUCAUGAAGGUGGAGCCUUCAUUAAUAGGAUUAGUGUCCUUAUAAAAGAGACCCUCACCAUGUGAGGCUUCUUAAAAGACUGCUUUCUGUGAGAAAACAGGCCCUCACCAGAAACCACAUGUGCAAGCACCUUGAUCUUGGACCUCCCAACUUCCAGAACCAUGAGAAAUAAUUUUUGUUGCUUAUAAGCCACCCAGUCUAUGGCAUUUUGUUAUAGCACCUGAAUGGACUGAGAGAUCAUACGAAACAAAAAAGAGGACAUGCUGUAUGAUUUCAUUUACAUAAAACUCUAGGCAAUGCCAACUUAUCUAUAUUGACAAA